RNAcentral lists this ribosomal RNA (429 nucleotides) under Chloroflexota bacterium. RNAcentral describes it as "Chloroflexi bacterium partial 16S ribosomal RNA". It matches the Rfam family "Bacterial small subunit ribosomal RNA", at positions 355 to 776 of the family's 1533-position model. Lineage: Bacteria; Bacillati; Chloroflexota. The record is from RNAcentral.
UGGGGAAUAUUGCACAAUGGGCGCAAGCCUGAUGCAGCCAUGCCGCGUGUGUGAAGAAGGCCUUCGGGUUGUAAAGCACUUUCAGCGGGGCGGAAGGCGAUAAGGUUAAUAACCUUGUCGAUUGACGUUACCCGCAGAAGAAGCACCGGCUAACUCCGUGCCAGCAGCCGCGGUAAUACGGAGGGUGCAAGCGUUAAUCGGAAUUACUGGGCGUAAAGCGCACGCAGGCGGUCUGUCAAGUCGGAUGUGAAAUCCCCGGGCUCAACCUGGGAACUGCAUUCGAAACUGGCAGGCUAGAGUCUUGUAGAGAGGGGUAGAAUUCCAGGUGUAGCGGUGAAAUGCGUAGAGAUCUGGAGGAAUACCGGUGGCGAAGGCGGCCCCCUGGACAAAGACUGACGCUCAGGUGCGAAAGCGUGGGGAGCUAACAGG